GACGAACGCUGGCGGCGUGCUUAACACAUGCAAGUCGAACGGAAAGGCCCUGCUUUUGUGGGGUGCUCGAGUGGCGAACGGGUGAGUAACACGUGAGUAACCUGCCCUUGACUUUGGGAUAACUUCAGGAAACUGGGGCUAAUACCGGAUAUGAGCUCCUGCUGCAUGGUGGGGGUUGGAAAGUUUCGGCGGUUGGGGAUGGACUCGCGGUUUCUCAGCUUGUUGGUGGGGUAGUGGCUUACCAUGGCCUUGACGGGUAGCCGGCCUGAGAGGGUGACCGGCGACAUUGCGACUGCGAUGCGGCCCAGACUCCUACGGGGGACAGCAGUGGGAAUUAUUGCACAAUGCGCGCAAGCCUGAUGCAGCAACGCCGCGUGCGGGAUACCGGCCUUCGGGUUGUAAACCGCUUUCGCCUGUGACGAAGCGUGAGUGACGGUAAUGGGUAAAGAAGCACCGGCUAACUACGUG
This 468-nucleotide ribosomal RNA is filed under the name uncultured bacterium. RNAcentral's name for it is "partial 16S ribosomal RNA". It matches the Rfam family "Bacterial small subunit ribosomal RNA", at positions 28 to 507 of the family's 1533-position model. The record is from RNAcentral.